UACGAAGGGGGCUAGCGUUGUUCGAAAUACUGGGCGUAAAGCGCACGUAGGCGGAUCCUUAAGUCAGGGGUGAAAUCCCGAGGCUCAACCUCGGAACUGCCUUUGAUACUGGGGAUAUCGAGUCCGGGAGAGGGUGAGUGGAACUGGCGAGUGUAGAGGUGAAAUUCGUAGAUAUCGCAAGACACCAGUGGCGAAGGCGG
This 200-nucleotide ribosomal RNA is filed under the name uncultured bacterium. RNAcentral's name for it is "partial 16S ribosomal RNA". It matches the Rfam family "Bacterial small subunit ribosomal RNA", at positions 524 to 724 of the family's 1533-position model. The record is from RNAcentral.